This 595-nucleotide ribosomal RNA is filed under the name Colletotrichum simmondsii. RNAcentral describes it as "eukaryotic LSU rRNA". The stretch from base 224 to 377 matches the Rfam family "5.8S ribosomal RNA". The record is from RNAcentral. Lineage: Eukaryota; Fungi; Ascomycota; Sordariomycetes; Glomerellales; Glomerellaceae.
GUAACAAGGUCUCCGUUGGUGAACCAGCGGAGGGAUCAUUACUGAGUUACCGCUCUAUAACCCUUUGUGAACAUACCUAACCGUUGCUUCGGCGGGCAGGGGAAGCCUCUCGCGGGCCUCCCCUCCCGGCGCCGGCCCCCACCACGGGGACGGGGCGCCCGCCGGAGGAAACCAAACUCUAUUUACACGACGUCUCUUCUGAGUGGCACAAGCAAAUAAUUAAAACUUUUAACAACGGAUCUCUUGGUUCUGGCAUCGAUGAAGAACGCAGCGAAAUGCGAUAAGUAAUGUGAAUUGCAGAAUUCAGUGAAUCAUCGAAUCUUUGAACGCACAUUGCGCUCGCCAGCAUUCUGGCGAGCAUGCCUGUUCGAGCGUCAUUUCAACCCUCAAGCACCGCUUGGUUUUGGGGCCCCACGGCACACGUGGGCCCUUAAAGGUAGUGGCGGACCCUCCCGGAGCCUCCUUUGCGUAGUAACUAACGUCUCGCACUGGGAUUCGGAGGGACUCUUGCCGUAAAACCCCCAAAUUUUUUACAGGUUGACCUCGGAUCAGGUAGGAAUACCCGCUGAACUUAAGCAUAUCAAUAAGCGGAGGA